CUGGGGAAACAAAGAGAAGGUGUUUCUAUUGGCUGUUGAGGAGCAGGAAGUACAUGGAGUUAAAGUAGGAAGUACAUGAAACUAGCUGCCAUUGGAAUCAAUAGCAUUCUAGAAAGCAAGAUAGACCAUGAAGAGUAUGGGAAGAAACAGGAAGUCCUAUUUCCUGGUUAAAGACCCAGCAGCUGUGUAAUAGGGACAACUUGCAGGUCAAGGGGCUCUCUGUGUUAUGACAUGUCAGACUGGGGAAACGAGUGAAGCAGUUUGGCUUUGAAUGUGUUGGCAAGAUUCCCAAGUGGUUGUCGCACAUGAGGGUGAUAGAAAAUUAAAGGACUGGCUUUGCUUGCAGUUCCUUCAGGUCAAGAGGAAAGCAGCUAAUAUUAUUGACUCCUCAACUCAAGAGAAGACCGAAAGACAUUCCUUCAAGAUGCCUUGGCGGCUAAUCAACAAAAGCCAUUGAAAGACUUAAUCCUCUAAGCUUGGCACCACAUCAGUCUGGAAGUAGUUUACAUGCAGAGUCCUUCGGAGUAAAUACUCAUUAGAGGUUCUGUUGCCUCAUUUGGUCACCCACAUUUUGCAGUGGGUGGCCCAGUUGGCAUCCUCCUUAUUUUCUUUUUCCAUCUCUGAAGAUAAUCCAGAUGAAGCAACCUGACACUACUUUCUUUGGUAUUUAAAAUCCAUUGUAAUGAAGGGUCCAUUAAUUUGUGAUGCUAAGUAAUAAGUCCAGAUAAAUA
Molecule: long non-coding RNA, 731 nt
Organism: Callithrix jacchus (white-tufted-ear marmoset)
Lineage: Eukaryota; Metazoa; Chordata; Mammalia; Primates; Cebidae
Source: RefSeq, a predicted model, not a curated record